RNAcentral lists this long non-coding RNA (3737 nucleotides) under Arabidopsis thaliana (thale cress). RNAcentral describes it as "long non-coding RNA (ATHA_LNC000559)". The record is from RNAcentral. Lineage: Eukaryota; Viridiplantae; Streptophyta; Magnoliopsida; Brassicales; Brassicaceae.
CUCGUAAGAAUAUCUGAUUCCUCGCUUCCGUCAAGAGCAAAAAAACAUUCAGGACUUGGCUCAGAGCUUCAGUGUAAGGGUCAAAAUGACUCAGGGACUAUAGUCUUGCAGAACUUAUGAGGUUGGAAGAUGGAUGAAGAGCUCCAAGGCUCAAAAUGUUUCCGGUGUUUGAAAAAUUGGAAGACAAAUGGAAGAUGCAUUCGCAUUCGGGUAACGGGUAUGUGUAAAUCGAAGUUUUCCGGUUGAUCUUCCUGACUCUCGGUACCAUCACUCCCUUUCUAUCGCUUUCCCCUAGCAUCAGUUUCAUCUCCUUUUUGAAAACUUCCCACCUAAUUCAAGAUUCAAAGGAAAUAUUUGUACAAACUCUUAGUCAUAAAAAGUGUUAAAACUGCUCAAUAUAUGUCUCUCUUGUGUGCAUGGGAGCUUUAGUUCUUUCAUGUCAACUAUAUCAAGUCGAGACGAGGAAAUGAAGAUGUAUAGUACCUCAUUUCCAUGUCCUGAAGAAGGAGAACGAGUUUGGGUUUGUCGGGUAUGACAGUUUUUGCAUGUCCACCGAAGAGGAAUCUUCGAUGGCCCAUCAAAAAAUGAGGAAAGUUUCCACCUUGAGUUGUCACAAAGACUUCACUUAGCAAACUCACUGUGUAGUCCAAAGCAGCCAUUCUGGAGGAAUAUCCCUAAAUAAUCAGAGCAACAAGAAAAUAUAAGACUUUGACACCAAACAGAUUUGCUUAGACUAAUGAAGUCAAAGUAAAAACCUGAAAUGGGGCAAGCUCCUCUGGAGUUGCAAGAGACUCUUUUGUGUAGAGACGAGGAAACAUUUCUUGAAGAGGAGCCAAAUGUUUCUCAGGUUGGUAGAUUCUUCCCGAGGCCAAAUAUAUCGAAGUGUUGUUAUCAAAUCCCAUACCACGGAGCAUCAUACCGACCUAUGGUAACGUGAGAACAUCAAUUAGAAAACAAAGCUCAAUAACAUACUGAAAUGUGAAUUAGAUCAAUGAAUUUACCUCUAAUGGGGUAAGGGGACAUUUUCCGUUAACUCGGUUAAGGUCGGGCCUAAUGACACGAUCUCUUCGUUUGAACUUUCCUUUCCAACUUUUCUGUCUAAUCACAUCCAUUUCAGAUUUCUCAGCUCUUCCACCUUCGUAGAGACAACAUGAGAAUGCCACCAUGUCCUAAAAAACCAAGGCUUUUUAUUUAUCUUGUCUCUCUAAAGCAUACUAAUACUAAACUAUCACUAAAGCAAAGUGAUUCUGUAAAUCAAAGACAAAAACUUACCUCCUCAAAUCGAAGGUGGACCGAGACAUACUUUCCUCCGGUCGCCGAGCUUUUCUCAACCAUCCGAUCGACUAACUUCUCAGCUAGUGUUGAUAUAGGUGAAGAAAACUUCAAUGCUUUGUAAUUAGCUAUGCACCUCAAAAGUUGUAUAUACGGUGGAACACUCAUCGCCAAUCUAUUUGCGAAAGGAGUUAUCCGAAUAACCCUGAAUCGAAUAAAACAAUAACACUGCCUUGAGAGAUAUAAGAGCUAAGCCAAGUAAAGAAGCUUAAAGAUUAAAGUCUACCUACCCAUGUUCCUUUAAAACCGGAUAAACUUCCCCGUUAUAGUAGUUCACAGUAGCCCAAGCUUGAACACGAAUAGUAGGAAUACUUGAAACAUUGUAACUAAAACGAGUCAUUAUCUCAUCAGGAACAUCUCUCACUAUUUUCACAUAACCUUCAAGGCUUGAUAUGAAGUGAUCUUCGUCAUAGAUAUCACCAAAGUUGCUGCCACAAAUAUGCAUUUUCUUAGUCCAAUAUCUUAACAAGACUUGAAAAGGUAAUGAAAAUUUUAAUGGCUUCUUACCUUGAAUCCUUCCAAAUAGCGUGAAACUCAAACCGCGGUAUGACUAAAACUGCGUUAAGAAGCCCGGCUACAGCCACAGCAUUGCAAAUCUGAAGCAAUACAAAAAAACUUUAGGAUAUGUUUUGACUUAUAUUGCUUUAAGCAAAUAAAUCAAUAAGGGAACAAGAUGAUGAUACCGCAGAACGCUGCUGAUUAAGACCGCCAUUUGCUUCCACGAUUAAGUAACCACUACUAGGAGCAAGAGCAGAUGAUUCUGAAAAUAUUUCAUCAAACACAUUAAUACCUAAAAUCAUAUGAACAAUCCAAGAAACUGGGAAGCCAUAGAAUUCAAAUAGUUCAGUAUCAGACACAAUCUUACCUCUGUUCAGACCAAAAUGUGAUGAAACUGUUGAAUUAGGACAAGGUUUUGGCAUCUUUGGUCUUCUUUUGAAUUUCCAGACAGAAGACAACUGAAACCAAACAUCAAGAAGCUUUCAAAGACAACAAAGCUAAGAAUUAGGCUUUGAAUGGCACUCGGAUAUGGGUGUGACUCCGAUUUGAAUGUGGGAACGAUACAACUUGAAAGUGAUAUAAAUAGUUAAAUCAAUGAAAGACUAUGAUUUACAAACCAACAUUACAUACAAACUCCAUCAAAUCCUAUUUCAUAAAAUGUUUUUACUUGAGAAAACCAUAUGCUAGAUAGAUUUUCAACUUUUUAAAGUACGUACUAUAAUUACCAAAGUAAAGAAUGAUGAAGAACCAAGAUACGGCAAGUAAAAUCAUAGGUUUCACAAACUAAAGUUCUUUUACCUUAUUCUUUGUUAGUAGCCGUUAGGUGUAGAAAAUUGCAUCGAUUCACAUGUGACUUCGAAAGACGAAAGAAAACAUAUUUGCGUAGGCCUGGUCAAAUAAACCAAACCAAAUACACCAAACCAUAAUUGAAGUAAAACAAAUUGAAUAGAAUUAAACCAAACCGAAAAUUUAAAAAUAGUUAAAUGGAUACUAAAUUCUAUAACCAAAAAAAACAAAAACGAAUCGAUACUGAUCCGAAAUAUUUUGAGUACUUGAAAAUAUCCGAAAUACAAUUAUAUAUUUUAAAAUAUUACCUAUUUAUAGACCAAAUAAUCCAAAAUACUUGAAUAUAUAUAUAAAAUACUAAAACUACUCGAAAAUAACAGAAAAUAUCCAAAAAUAUCUGAAAAUACUCAAAAAUAACCGAAAUAUCCAAAAAUACCCGAAGCAUAAUACCCGAAUGGAUACUAAUUUUAAAACCGAAAGACCGGAACCGGACCAAACCGAACCGAAAUGGAUAUAAAAAUCUAAACCCAAAAUAACCAAAAUCGAAUAGAACCGAUAACCGAUUGGUUAACCGAACCCCCAGGACUACAUUUGCAGAAGGGAGAUCGAUUGAAUGUAAAAACUACUGGAACCGAAGGUAGGGAAUAUUACAAUGAAUUUUUUUCAAAAAAAAUCCCACCAGAACGAUGUAAAAUUUCUAUACACUUGAACAAUUUGAGUGACAACGUAAGUAAUGCACAAAAAAGAUAACAACAUAAGUACAGAAAAUCACACCCCUGUUUUUGUGACUGUCCUAACUCCUAACCAGAAGUAGCAAGCAACACAGCUUUCAAUCCUAGAGAGUUCUUACACUUAUGUGAACUCAAUCUCCUCGUAAGAAUAUCUGAUUCCUCGCUUCCGUCAAGAGCAAAAAAACAUUCAGGACUUGGCUCAGAGCUUCAGUGUAAGGGUCAAAAUGACUCAGGGACUAUAGUCUUGCAGAACUUAUGAGGUUGGAAGAUGGAUGAAGAGCUCCAAGGCUCAAAAUGUUUCCGGUGUUUGAAAAAUUGGAAGACAAAUGGAAGAUGCAUUCGCAUUCGGGUAACGGGUAUGUGUAAAUCGAAGUUUUCCGGUUGAUCUUC